GGGACCGGGAUCGGGAUCAAGACCGGGAUCGGGAUCAACACCAGGACCGGGAUCGGGAUCGGGAUCGGGAUCGGGAUCGAGACCAGGACCGGGAUCGGGAUCAGGACCGGGAUCGGGCCCCGCCGCCCCCCCCGCCCCAAGCAGAGCCCCCCCGCCCCCCCCCAAGCCCCGGGGCACCAGGAGGGUUUUUUUGGGGGGUCCCUUGGGAGAAAGGGGUCGGGCAGGGCCCCCCCGGGCUGCCCCGAGCAGUGGAGGGCACCCCGGGUCCUGGUGUCCUUCGUGGUGCUGGGGGAGGUGGUGACAGGCUCCCCUUGGGUGCCAGGCACCCUUGGGUGCUGUGCACCCCAUGGAGCGGGGGUGCUGGGUGCUGUGCGGGACCCCAGCCCCACAGCCUGGAGGAGUGGGACCACCGGUGCCAGGCUUCCUCCCCUGCCCACCGUCGGGUGCCUUCACGGACACGGACACAGACCCCUAGGCACAGGUCACCCCCACAAAGGGAUCCCCGCAGCCCAGUGGCACCACGGGACGGGGCUGGCACGAGGGGUCCUGGUGGUCCCCAGGACCCUGGCUCAGCAGCAGAGCUGUCUCGGUGCCACUUCUGGGCUGGGACACCACGGCUCAGCCACCUGUGACAGUCCCCAGCUCUGUCCCCUCUGCCCCCUUCCCUCCAGCACAGCCGGGUGCUGCCGCCCCGCAUGGGGCACUGCACCUCCCCAGGGGCACGCGGGCAGGUUUCCAUCGCCAAAAGUCCCCUGAGACGCAUCGUAGGUCCUUGUGCCCUCGUCACCGGGCUCUGGGCAAGGCCAAAGCCUUUCCGGAGAUCCCCGAAACAAGCAGGGAGAACUCAGCAUCACCCCGGGGGGCGAGGGGGACACUACAACACCCGCCUUUGUCCUCCUGCCCAGGGAGCAUUCGAGGCGAGGAGCGAGGGCCCCAGGAGAGCAGGAGGAGGUGGCUGCAGCGCCAGGACGUGUCCUGUCACGGAGCGGGGCGAGCAAGCCGAGGCAGGCAGGGAGCUGAAGCAAGCGUCCUCGGGUGCCUGCAUCCAGCCCAGUAGGAGGGGAGAGGAGAACCGGUGCGAGCAGAGCAUGGCCCUGGCACUCAGCAAGACGCGAGCAGCACCCGAAAGCCACUACGAAACGGGGAGCUGCAGCGGCUGGCCCCGCUGCCGGCCCCGCUGCCCAGGAUGAAGGCGGCCCAGCCUCUGCUGAAACUGGCCCGAAGCUACGGCAGCUGCGCUGUGCUUGGGACUUCGCACCUGAAGCACAAGGGGAUGGCUACAUAGCAGUGUGUAGCCCAUAAACAGGAGAAAAGAGUAGGAAAAUAGCUUUUGAAAUCAUAGAAGACGUCGAUAUAAAAGGUAGUGCCAAGGAGAGGUCUGUACUGACCCAGUUUCUUGUUCUGCACAGCUCAGAAGAAAGGCAGCAGCACAGAAGUAGGGUCAAGCCAGCAAGAAGAUAGAGCCAAGGGGUCCCCGGGUCCUCCCACCCCGCUCCAUCUGCCGCUCCAUUCAUCCGCAAAGCACAAGGAACCUGGCAAAUCUCUUGCUAUAAACCAGAUUUGUCUUUGUAAGCUUUGAAAUAAACCCGAGGAUUAAAGUCUAAGGACUUUUUUUUUUUUUUUUAAGUCAGCAACACACAUGAAAGAGCGCAUGGGUCCAUGCGAAGCCCGGAGCACGGCACAAUGCGGGGGGAGGUGAUUUGUGCUGCAGCAGCAGCCGGGGGCCCCUGGAAGAGGCUGCAUAAACACACAGCACGAGCCCGUCCGCGCAGAGCUUUAUUGCUUCAAACACACCUGUGCUGCCAGCCAGCAAACGCCCUCGGAGCGUGUGGGCACGGUCAUCACCAGCGUAAAAUUAGGAAGCAAACAAAGCCAUCAGCACAGAAGACACCUUCAUGCAAAUACACCGGGAAAAGGUAAAGUGAGACCAAACCCACGACUUUUCUGCCGUGGCAAAGCCCAGGAGGCCCAAGCAGAGCUGGCAACCCAACUGAGCGAGCAGGGAGCAGGGAGAAGGGGCUGUGCCCCCGGCCAGCAGAAGGAUCACAUUAAAAAGCACUUGGAUGGCAUCGCCCAGACCUGAGUCACAGGACGACAACGGCAGCAAGAGGUGUCCUGUCCUCCAGCCUGCCAAGAAUAGCACUGAGAGCAGGCGCGGUGUGCUCGCCGGUAGGGCUAGCAGUGCUCGCACAGUGCCGCCCUGGCCUCGGCCAACAGGUUCCCCUGGUCCCCCCUGCUCCGCAAGUGGAUGAAGUAAGCGUGGCACCAUCCUCCGAAUUCAGGUCCUCCAUUUGUUCCUGAUCACCGGGGCUCUCCUCGCAGCUUAGGGCCUUUGUCUGGCGUGUUCCUAUGGGCUGACACAGGCCCAGCUCCCCCAAAUCAGAUUGUCUUCGUUAAGCCCUUCCAAUAAGAGAUUUCCUGUGGAGCUCAAGGGCCUCUAAGCGGGUUACGUGCCCAUAACUUCUGGCCCUGUUACGAGACGGGCAGGCUUAAAGACGGGGCAGGAGACCUAAUGCACGCCUUCCAACUGCUUUGAGGAGCCGGAGAGUAAACAAACAAUUAGAAAAUAAAAUUCAUUUUAAAAAGCGAAGUCAGAGCUGCUUUAAUGUCAUUCUGGCUAGAUUAGUUUCCGCCCUGUGUUUAGCUGGAAAUGGCUGAGAGCAUUUAGAUUUCAAUUUAAAAAAAAAAAAAAAAAACACACCAAAACAAUAAACCUCGCCAUAGCAAUCGGCCAGACCAGCUUUGGGACUGGUUGGGCAGGAAUGAGGCGUUCAGAUAGGCUUCCAAACGCUCUGUUUAUCCAAAGGAGGUUCGAAACCAGUCAAGCUGGAAGCUUUACAAUAAAAGGGGAGCGUUUGGCUUUCAAUCAAGGGUUAAAACUCGGCACGGCCAGACCGAGCUGCUCACGGGGACUUGGGCUUUGCAGGAGUCAGCAGCUCCGGGUGUUUGUGUACACCUAAAAGGCAGCUGUUCCCACGCUCUGCUUUGAGCUGGUAGUUUUGGAGGGGGCACCUUUCUCACCACGGUGGGCUGAAGUUCCUGAGGCAUCCGACACAAAACCCAGCUUCUGAAUAUCCUUUGGGUCAGCCGCCAGUCAUAUAGUCAUGAAUCCGCGCCCCCCGUUAUCAGCAGCGAAAUAGUUACAUGCAGAAUUAACGUUUUAAAUCCUCCCGAUUAGAUGUGUCCCACAGCUUGCUAAAUUAGCUGUCACUUCUCCCGGUUGGGUCCCUCCCAAUUACCCUAGCGUUUGAGAAGGAUUUUAAGGUUAGCCGUGUGGAUUUGGGAAGGCGAGGGCUGGCUGUCUUUAUGUUAAGGGGAAAAAAAAAAAAAAGGCUCUCUUCUGAACUGUAAAAAUAAUAGAUGGACUGGCCCCGUUCAAAUCUCAUUAUCUGGCUCUGCCGGAGAAGGCGCAGACAUCGGGAUCGUGCUGCCAGCAGCCACCUGGUUGCUAGCACUGGGUAAGCGCAGUCACUGGGAAUCUAAGGGGAAAAAAAGCCCAGGGGUAAGCAGGGCUGGUGUGUUUAAUCAUGGCUGUAAUUGGUAACCCAGGUCUGACCCCAGAAACAGGCCUAGCAGGCAGGGUAAACAAUAAAGCAAGAGUCUGAUGCCCAGCCUACACUUAGAGCUAAUAAGUCCUUUCAAAACACGCGGUUGUGAAAUAAGACUGAGCGAACCGUGUGAAACGCAUCGGAGAGGGGGAAGGAUAGGGGCAGACAACAAAGCCUCUUUAACCUGUUAGCUCCCUGGGUUGGCCCCUGGUUUUGCAGCACGCAUGGGUUCCUGGCAGCCCAGAGCUCAGCCAGGAGAAGUGCUGAGCAUCUUCUCGCCAGGCCGAGCUCCUGGAAGCUCACCAGCCCUCGUGCCUCCACGGCGUGCGCUGUGCUGUGCCCCCUGCCACCUAUUUUGGGGCCUGAAUGCGUUUUGGCAGCCGGGUCCUGUGCUGGGCCUGCCUGUGCCGCCUGUAACCAGCCGCCCUCCCUCCACCAGCAUCCGCAGCGUGGAUGGGACAUGCGGAGACACGCCCCGGGCAUGUCGGGGCAGCUCCGUUUGCAGGCUCUCAGGACACUAAAUAUUCCCCUCUGCCUCAUCCGCAGAGGGUACGGGGGCUGAGGGCUGGAUGCCCUCCAGCGUUUGAGCACAGCAGCUUUUGUAGCACGAGCCCGGGGCUUCAGCGACUGCCCGCAGCGAUCCAGGAGAUGCCUUCCUCACAACAACCUCCCUCUGAGCCUCCUUUUUUAUUGCAGGCCGUUGUUUCCUCAUGGAAAACAACCUAUCUGACCUGCUGCGAAUGUCACAUCUGUUCGGGAGUAUUUUAGGAAGCAAACAUUGCUGCACUCGAGGGAGCUGCAACCACAGUAAUUGCUUUUUCUUCGAAUUUCUGAGGACUUUGGGCCUAGUUUUCCAACGGUGCUGAGCACUCGCUGGCUCCAGCUGCCUUAAGUGCACUCUGGAGGUUUUCUCCUUGGCCUUACUAGCUUCUCGCUGAACCCAUGUUGACAGAGCCUUGUGUAAGGAGACAUUUGUUCAAAGCCCGACCUUACUGGCUGGAGGAGAAGCCUCAGACAAUAGUUCCUCUCGAAGCUGCCAUGUCGGGGAAGGUAUGUCGAUGACCUCACGCUGAUUUCACAGAUGGUUUCCUGUUCUCUGCAUUUGGUUAUUGUUUUUUUCCACAUCCUCUUUGCAGGAUGCCACUGCCUCCGCCUACCUCUGUUCCUGUCGAGCAAAGCUGGAGGGGGUUGAAGGGGGCAAGAGAAGAGGUCCGGCAGGGCGCUCAGCGCGGCGACAGGCCCAGAGCAGGGUGGGAAUGGAGGACUUUGCACGGGCACGUCCAGAGAAAGUCUCCAGCUGUAAAGCCUGGAACGGGCUUGUUAGCUCCUGAGAUAAAAACGAGUUCAGAGCCCUGGCUUGCUCUCAGAAAUGGAGCAAGGAUCAGUGGGGCUCCGGGAGGAAGGCAGCGUCCCGCUCCACCCCUCUGCCCUCCAGCAGCCCUUGGCGCUGCCACGUCCCCGCAGCGCAGCAAGGUGAACAGCUCGUGUGAGACAUGGGUGUGUGCACAGUGCCCUUAUUGCAGCACCCCGGGGUGUGUCUGCCCCAGAAAGUCCCCGAACGCAUAUUAGCUCCAGUCAAAACAUGAUUUUCCUCCCCGUAGCUGGGGAUUCGCAACCGGUGGCGAACCCACCAAUGCCACAGGACACAGGAGCCAAAUCCUCC
This is a long non-coding RNA of Cygnus olor (mute swan), 5211 nucleotides long. RefSeq lists it as uncharacterized. The record is from RefSeq and is a predicted model, not a curated record. The transcript is spliced from 2 exons. NCBI's taxonomy places the organism in Eukaryota, Metazoa, Chordata, Aves, Anseriformes, Anatidae.